UACGAAGGGGGCUAGCGUUGCUCGGAAUCACUGGGCGUAAAGCGCACGUAGGCGGAUUGUUAAGUCAGGGGUGAAAUCCUGGAGCUCAACUCCAGAACUGCCUUUGAUACUGGCGAUCUUGAGUCCGGGAGAGGUGAGUGGAACUGCGAGUGUAGAGGUGAAAUUCGUAGAUAUCAAGCAGAACACCUGUGGCGAAGGCGGCCUUCUGGACGAUGACUGACGCUGAGACGCGAAAGCGUGGGGAGCAAACAGG
RNAcentral lists this ribosomal RNA (253 nucleotides) under uncultured bacterium. Its description in RNAcentral is "partial 16S ribosomal RNA". It matches the Rfam family "Bacterial small subunit ribosomal RNA", at positions 524 to 776 of the family's 1533-position model. The record is from RNAcentral.